RNAcentral lists this ribosomal RNA (429 nucleotides) under Chloroflexota bacterium. RNAcentral's name for it is "Chloroflexi bacterium partial 16S ribosomal RNA". It matches the Rfam family "Bacterial small subunit ribosomal RNA", at positions 355 to 776 of the family's 1533-position model. The record is from RNAcentral. Lineage: Bacteria; Bacillati; Chloroflexota.
UGGGGAAUAUUGCACAAUGGGCGCAAGCCUGAUGCAGCCAUGCCGCGUGUAUGAAGAAGGCCUUCGGGUUGUAAAGUACUUUCAGCGGGGAGGAAGGCGGUGAGGUUAAUAACCUCAUCGAUUGACGUUACCCGCAGAAGAAGCCACGGCUAACUACGUGCCAGCAGCCGCGGUAAUACGUAGGUGGCAAGCGUUGUCCGGAUUUAUUGGGCGUAAAGCGAGCGCAGGCGGUUUCUUAAGUCUGAUGUGAAAGCCCCCGGCUCAACCGGGGAGGGUCAUUGGAAACUGGGAGACUUGAGUGCAGAAGAGGAGAGUGGAAUUCCAUGUGUAGCGAUGAAAUGCGUAGAUAUAUGGAGGAACACCAGUGGCGAAGGCGGCUCUCUGGUCUGUAACUGACGCUGAGGCUCGAAAGCGUGGGGAGCAAACAGG